UCUUUCGUAGUAUAGUGGUCAGUAUGCAAGCUUGUCACGUUCUAAACAUAGAACAGCACUCGCUUGAGACCCGGGUUCAAUUCCCGGCGAGAGAG
This 95-nucleotide transfer RNA is filed under the name Cryphonectria parasitica EP155. It matches the Rfam family "tRNA". From Rfam's summary of the family: Transfer RNA (tRNA) molecules are approximately 80 nucleotides in length. The record is from Rfam by way of RNAcentral. Lineage: Eukaryota; Fungi; Ascomycota; Sordariomycetes; Diaporthales; Cryphonectriaceae.